This 304-nucleotide ribosomal RNA is filed under the name uncultured bacterium. RNAcentral describes it as "bacterial SSU rRNA". It matches the Rfam family "Bacterial small subunit ribosomal RNA", at positions 43 to 346 of the family's 1533-position model. The record is from RNAcentral.
UCAGGCCUAACACAUGCAAGUCGAACGGCAGCACGGGUGCUUGCACCUGGUGGCGAGUGGCGAACGGGUGAGUAAUAUAUCGGAACGUACCUUAUUGUGGGGGAUAACGCAGCGAAAGCUGUGCUAAUACCGCAUAAUCCCUAAGGGGGAAAGCGGGGGACCGUAAGGCCUCGCGCAAUUAGAGCGGCCGAUACCUGAUUAGCUAGUUGGUGAGGUAAAGGCUCACCAAGGCAACGAUCAGUGGCUGGUCUGAGAGGACGAUCAGCCACACUGGGACGGAGACACGGCCCAGACUCCUACGGGA